UAGCGUCUCCCUUCCGCCCCAACACUCAAUCCCACUUUCCACUUUAAAGUCCUUCCACAGAUAUUUUAUGUGUGUUUUAUAAACAUCUAAAUAAAUGGUAGUAAUGGUAGCAUGUCAUAGAUAUGCCAUUCUACACCUGAUUUUUUCAGUUAGCAACAUAUCUUGGAGAUUUUUUUUUUUUAAUAUCACUUCAGAAUGAUCCACACUGUGUUCCAAUCACUUUUAUGAUCAUCUCUUAAAGUUGGCAUCGUUUACUGCUUUAUGGUAAAUAGACCCAGCACCUUGGCCAACAGUGAGAACAACCCCAGCCAAUGUGGAUGCUAACUGAGGACCAGCCAUGUUCCAGGCACAGCGCUAAGCAACUUCUCUGCUCUGUCUGGUGCAAACACCACUAACUCCCAAAUUAUAUCACCCCCAUUUUACAGAUGAGAAACCCGUGCCAGGCUUAGAACCAAAGCAAUGUGUUUCCAGUGCCCAAGAUGGUAAGUACUCUGCAAAGUCCAGAAGCGACAUGCCAUUGCAAGGGUAGCCACUGCCCUCAGGAGAUCAGAGAUUUGGACACAGACCCAGUAAUUCUGUUUCUUGUCUUUUACCCAGGGGCUAAAUACUCCCAGGAGAUACAUUAUGCUGACCCCGUGUUCCAGCAAGUGGCACCAAGAGAUCAGGAAAACAGUAAUAAUUCUAAAGAUGGAUACGUCUAUUCUGAACUUGUCCUCUGAGAUUUAAAGAUGUAGGCUACAUCUCAGGGUACAUACAAUCCUGUCAUCAGACAAGAGUUUUGUUAGGUGGGAUCCUAAGUUUUUACAUGCUUUUGCCAUUUUUUGGCAAGGACCAUUUCCCCCAUUUCCACACCACUGAAUAAAGAAUAAUUUUUUGACCA
RNAcentral lists this long non-coding RNA (880 nucleotides) under Bos mutus (wild yak). RNAcentral's name for it is "lncRNA (ENSBMUG00000008681.1)". The record is from RNAcentral. Lineage: Eukaryota; Metazoa; Chordata; Mammalia; Artiodactyla; Bovidae.